Chiloscyllium plagiosum (whitespotted bambooshark) is the source of this 3242-nucleotide non-coding RNA. NCBI's taxonomy places the organism in Eukaryota, Metazoa, Chordata, Chondrichthyes, Orectolobiformes, Hemiscylliidae. The record is from RefSeq and is a predicted model, not a curated record.
CCAAAGAUUGGCCAUGCUGAAUUGCCCAUAGUGUCCAGGGAUGAGCAGGCUAGACGGAUUAGCCAUGAGAAAUAUAAGGUUACAGGUUUUGGAUAGAAGGAGUGGAAUGCUCUUUGGAGGGUCGAUGUAGACUCAAGGGGCUGAAUGGCCUGCUUCCACGCUGUGAGGACUCUAGGAUUUCCAUCAGCAGUUAAAAUCGACUCUAAAACAUUUGUUGCAGAAUGUCAUCAGAUCCCUUCAACAAAAUUCUGGGACCCAGCACUAAAAUAUUAAUUGAUUAAGUUUCAUGGCCAGUAAGUAAUUGCUCCAGCCCUCACACCCUGCAACAUGUGCCAGAAUACAUUUCUAACAGCAUAUUGAUUGCUUUUUCUUUUUAUGAACACACCCACUACCGAGAGCAAAAGGGCCAUAUGAUUUCUAUGUAAUUGUGACAAUUUAGGCUGCAGCAUCUUGAAUAGGCCAUUAGCUGGGCUGUGUAGGUAGUCUGUGGUGCUUCCAAUAAAACAUAACAUUUCUACCUCUGAUGUGAAUCAUCCAAUGCCUCGGAGUUGAAAUCCUUACGUUCUUUUGACAGCACUGUUAAAAUCCUGAUAUUUCAUUUUCAUCUUCAUAGCAGCAAUUUGGGCUGGGGAGGUUGGGGAACACAUCUUGGUUUGGAAAAUAAAGAAAUAGAGCAUGUUCAUAAGGAUUAAAAGAGUCAGUAUAUUGAGCAAUGUUUAAGCUUACCCAGUGUCUGUUCACUUAUGGAUUGAUGUUUAAUGGUGCAUGACGUAUCAAGGUGACCAUUUUUGUACAGCCAUGGUGUCAUUGGUAUGUAAACAGAAGUGAAUUUAUAUUUCUAUUGGCAUGAAUUGGAUAUGCAAUACAAUAUUACCUUGGUGAAGCAACAUUAGAAGCUAGUAAGAAUUAAUACUGCUGUAUUAUUGUGACAGUAAGUUGACAAACACUUUCAUUUGCUCCUAUAUCUGUGAGAAUUCCAUCAUACAACGUAACAAAUAUCAGCAAUGCCAAAACAAGGUUUAUGGCUCUUCAAUGAAUUGCAAGGUGUACAAAUGAACUCAGUGCAACUCUGCUGUCAAACUUUGCUACAGUAGCUUUUGAGUUUACUCUGUGUUGUGUAUGUCCAGAGGUUUUAGUUAAAAUAUUUUAAAAGAAGGCUUCUUAAUUUUGUACAUAGUGAAGAGGAAAGAAGUCAAAUAUGGCUAAAAUAUUUUUUAAUUUUACAACAUGUUGCAGAUUGGAGGUUUUUCUCCAGUAAAUUAGAGAUUUCACAGAAGAAACAGUUUGUGCAUGCUGCAUAUGUUGUGACUUGAGAAAAUUUAUCAAUGACUAAAUGCCUUAUACAAACAAAUCUAUAGUACAUAACCCAGAGAUAGUCUGAAAAUAGUUAAUCACAAAUAUGUGUGGACUUAAUGCUGUUUUAUGUCAUACUACUCCGCUUGAUUUGUCUGUCAUUUCUGUAUUUCUUAAAGAACCGUUAAUCUUGUAAAAUUGUGCUGUGUAACUCUCAUUGCUUGAAUUGAAUGGCUUUGUAUAAAUCAAUGUCAUAAGCUGUUUCCUCUCUUGCCAUAUUUCCUAACACAUUAAAUAUAGAUGUUUGUAAAUUCUCCAUAAUUGCUCGUUCAUUCUGCGUGUCUUGAUCUAAUCAAGUCCAACAGGCAUUUCAUUCAGUUUACUGUGUUUAAAAAGUUCACUUCAAGUUAUUGCAAGCUUCCUAACGAUAUCAUAGCUCUUUUAGAUAAAGUAAGUAAACUUUUUCAAUUUGUUUGCAGUCUUCAGUGCAACCAAAGCGCCAAAUAUUGAUCAUUUUAAACUUGAAUUUGCUACUGCAAUUCACACAUUUUUAAACUUUAAUCAAUCCUGAAGAAGCCGUGCAAAUAUCAUUCAUGAUAAAUGUUACAUUAUGUUUCAAUUUGUGAUCAAAAUUAUUAAGCACAUUAUGCUUACCAUAAUUUGAAAUGCAGACUAUAAAGUCUGAAUUCUAUUCAUGUAAAAUGUGACAUGUGACACCCAUCCUUGUGUGUUCUUGUUCAGUGCAUUCUGCUAAAUGUUGUCACUAAAGAACACUCUGAUUAUGCCAGGAAAGGAAUUUAUUAAAAAUGCCUAAAAUAAACUCAUUAUUGUUUCUCACUUUUAGAAAGAUUACAUCUUAUUUCACUGCUUUUCUUUACUGUUUUGACUUAUAAUUCCCUUCACUUCAUUGUUCUGAUUUGUAAGACUCUUCACCACACAUUUGUGCGUCAUCAGUAAUAUUCCUAGCUCAGUUUCUGUGUAUCUCUACUGUUCUGUCAAUUGAAAAUCCUCUUCUUGAUUAUUCUAUAAAUUAAUUAAUAUUUAAAUAUUUGUGUUUAUGUAUGGAAGACAAGAUUUGAGACUUUUUAAUUCAUUCAUGGGACAUAGGCAUUGCCAGUAUUUAUUUCCGGUCCCGAAUAUCUCAGUUCCACAUGCCCAGAACAUUAAUCGGGAGUACUAUCCCACUGACAUUACUUCACUGCUGUCCCAAAAGGUGAUGGAUAAACUUGAAAUCAUUUGCGAUUGUGCUUUAGACCUGGGGUUCCUUUCCUGAACGUCAGUAAAGCCGAGGGACCCCUUCUAAAAGCAAAGAACUGAGCUCUCAAAAAUUGUUUCUAUGAAAAUCAAUUUACAACACAUUGUCUUCUAAAGGUUGCAUGGCUGCUGUUUGUAAGUGUCUUACCACAGGUGCUGGGAGUGUCUGCUCACAGUAUACCUGGUGUAAUGUCAUUCGUGUGUAAAAUUUGAUUUAAUGUUUGUUCUGCCGUUUUGGAGUUCAAUGAUUCAGCAAAUGCCUUUUGUUAACCUCACAGCUGAGCACAAGUUAAACAGGAGAAUCAUGUUGCCCAUUCUGUCUCCCACCACUGGCACUUUCAGAAAAUCUGCUAAGGUGCCACACAAGAGCAUUACGAAGCAAAAUUUGAUACUGAAUUACUGAAUCAGAUAUUAAGUCAGAUAAACAAAAUCUUGGGUCAAACAGUUGCCUCAAAAGAGAAAAGACAGUAUGUGACCUGAACCUGAUAUGAUGUGUGUAUGCCUUCAAGGAAGUGUAUCUGAAAUUGGUGCCAAUCAUGACACAUCUCAUCAGGAUAUAAUGUAUUACUCCCAUGGCUCAUCAUCAAUCUAUAAGCAGCAGCGGUCAGAGACAGAUGGACAAUACUUAGGUCCCAAUGAAUGUUAUUUGUAUAUUGUCUCAUUCAAAUAAAGAACUGGCAGUGUAGUUUCACCAU